GCAGUCGAGCGGUAACAGAUCCAGCUUGCUGGAUGCUGACGAGCGGCGGACGGGUGAGUAAUGCAUAGGAAUCUGCCCGGUAGUGGGGGAUAACCUGGGGAAACCCAGGCUAAUACCGCAUACGUCCUACGGGAGAAAGGGGGCUUCGGCUCCCGCUAUCGGAUGAGCCUAUGUCGGAUUAGCUAGUUGGUGAGGUAACGGCUCACCAAGGCCACGAUCCGUAGCUGGUCUGAGAGGAUGAUCAGCCACAUCGGGACUGAGACACGGCCCGAACUCCUACGGGAGGCAGCAGUGGGGAAUAUUGGACAAUGGGGGGAACCCUGAUCCAGCCAUGCCGCGUGUGUGAAGAAGGCCCUCGGGUUGUAAAGCACUUUCAGCGAGGAAGAACGCCUAGCGGUUAAUACCCGCUAGGAAAGACAUCACUCGCAGAAGAAGCACCGGCUAACUCCGUGCCAGCAGCCGCGGUAAUACGGAGGGUGCAAGCGUUAAUCGGAAUUACUGGGCGUAAAGCGCGCGUAGGUGGCUUG
Molecule: ribosomal RNA, 527 nt
Filed under: Vreelandella aquamarina
Lineage: Bacteria; Pseudomonadati; Pseudomonadota; Gammaproteobacteria; Oceanospirillales; Halomonadaceae
Description: bacterial SSU rRNA
Rfam family: Bacterial small subunit ribosomal RNA
Source: RNAcentral